UGGGGUCGGGCGCGUCUGUCCAUGUGUCUGUCCUGGGGGGGCGGGGAAUCAGUCCAGGUUCCCACUGUGGUCCUGCUCCCAACGUCUGCUCUGUCUGCAGAAUUUCAAUUUCCUACUAUCUUGAUGUUCAAGCCUAAGGCUUCCAGACUUGCUGGUCUAUCUAUGCAACGGCACGGAAGGCCCUUGUCAAAGCACACGUUCCAGUUUUUGGUUCACGGGUGUGCUCGACGGACCCUCGGAGCAAGGUCUGGAAAGCCCCAGCGUUCAAGAUUUUCCGUCCCUUCCAGGAAUGAAGAAGACCGUCGCGUGGCCCGGGAAAUGGAGGUCGGGUGUUCGAGGAGCACCUGAGUCCCUGGAAGACCGGGGGGUCGUCCCCAGCAGGUGCCAAGGACUGAAGGCCCCAAGGAGUCAGCAGUGAGGUCCUUGUCCUGGGAGGAGGGAGGUACAGAGAGAAAGGAUCCCAGCUGGUCUAGGAGUUGGG
Molecule: long non-coding RNA, 481 nt
Filed under: Felis catus (domestic cat)
Lineage: Eukaryota; Metazoa; Chordata; Mammalia; Carnivora; Felidae
Description: lncRNA (ENSFCAG00000049960.1)
Source: RNAcentral